Molecule: long non-coding RNA, 794 nt
Filed under: Homo sapiens (human)
Lineage: Eukaryota; Metazoa; Chordata; Mammalia; Primates; Hominidae
Description: non-protein coding BVES-AS1:9
Source: RNAcentral
CCUCGCUCCCGCGACUCCGCUGCGGGUCUGCACACCCGAGGACUCGGUUUGAAACGCCCGCUUAUUUAUUUUCUUGUCGCCUCGCUACAAGAUUCUAUCCUUGUUUGGGCAUGAGUGGGGGGCGGCAGUCUCGUGGGACCGGCGGCAUUCGUCGUUCCUCCUUACGGGGAUAAUUCGAGAAGUGCGGUCCGGGGGUACUUAACCGAAACUAGCAAUCCCAGGCGGUACAAGGCCCUCCAUCGUAGGCAAAGCACUACCUGAAUGUAGAUUUGGGCCAUACGUUGGAAAAUAAGACAUGAGAGUAUGCUCCGAUCAACUUUUACUGUUCACUGGACAACUAUUUUGGGAAUUUGCAGACCUAUAAAGCCCAUCUAUAAAUCUCAAGCAUGUCCACUUUCAGAGAAGAGAAAUGCUGACAACCAUUUAGUCUCUGAGGACAACACUUUUAAAGUGUAACAAUGUGGCAUCCAGAGCUUAUCCAGAUGAGCGGAGAGCAAAUGAAUUUCCUUCUGCUCCCCUGUUGAAGAGGAGAGAAAAAUUCUUCAAGCUGACUCCAUCAUAGGACUGGAGAGAGAUUGGAUGUCAGAGUGAUUGAUGUGCUCCUACUGGAAGAAGGCAAACAUCCAUAUGUGAACUGCCUGUGGGGUUUCCAAGGAAAGGAACGGCAGGCAGCCUCUAUGAGCUUAAAGAAGAUAACUGGGACUUUAGUCCUAUAACCUCAAGGAACAGUAUUCUGUGAACCAUCUGAGAAGCUUGGAAGAGGACCCCAAACUCCAAAUAAGAAGCUCAGUGUG